This 439-nucleotide ribosomal RNA is filed under the name uncultured bacterium. RNAcentral describes it as "partial 16S ribosomal RNA". It matches the Rfam family "Bacterial small subunit ribosomal RNA", at positions 339 to 795 of the family's 1533-position model. The record is from RNAcentral.
CUACGGGUGGCUGCAGUGAGGAAUAUUGCACAAUGGGGGGAACCCUGAUGCAGCAACGCCGCGUGGAGGAUGACGCAUUUCGGUGUGUAAACUCCUUUUAUAUGUUAAGAAAAUGACGGUAGCAUAUGAAUAAGCACCGGCUAACUCCGUGCCAGCAGCCGCGGUAAUACGGAGGGUGCAAGCGUUACUCGGAAUCACUGGGCGUAAAGGACACGUAGGCGGGUUGGAAAGUCAGGUGUGAAAUCCUACAGCUUAACUGUAGAACUGCACUUGAAACUUCUAAUCUAGAGUAUGGGAGGGGGAGAUGGAAUUAGUGGUGUAGGGGUAAAAUCCGUAGAUAUCACUAGGAAUACCUAAAGCGAAGGCGAUCUCCUGGAACAUUACUGACGCUAAGGCGUGAAAGCGUGGGGAGCAAACAGGAUUAGAUACCCUUGUAGUC